Molecule: transfer RNA, 67 nt
Filed under: Rhyparobia maderae (Madeira cockroach)
Lineage: Eukaryota; Metazoa; Arthropoda; Insecta; Blattodea; Blaberidae
Description: tRNA-Ser
Source: RNAcentral
GAAAUAUGUUGAUCAAGUGUAAGCUGCUAACUUAACACUUUAGUGGUUAAAUUCCAUUUAUAUUUCU